RNAcentral lists this unclassified non-coding RNA (357 nucleotides) under uncultured Cenococcum. RNAcentral describes it as "sequence contains ITS1, 5.8S rRNA gene and ITS2". The stretch from base 11 to 164 matches the Rfam family "5.8S ribosomal RNA". The record is from RNAcentral. Lineage: Eukaryota; Fungi; Ascomycota; Dothideomycetes; Gloniales; Gloniaceae.
AACGAAUUAAAACUUUCAACAACGGAUCUCUUGGUUCUGGCAUCGAUGAAGAACGCAGCGAAAUGCGAUAAGUAGUGUGAAUUGCAGAAUUCAGUGAAUCAUCGAAUCUUUGAACGCACAUUGCGCCCCUUGGUAUCCCGAGGGGCAUGCCUGUUCGAGCGUCAUUUCACCAUUCAAGCCUGGCUUGGUGUUGGGCGACGUCCCCUUUGGGGACGCGCUUCGAAAUGCUCGGCGGCGUGGCACCGGCUUUAAGCGUAGCAGAAUCUUUCGCUUUGAAAGUCGGGGCCCCGUCUGCCGGAAGACCUACUCAAGGUUGACCUCGGAUCAGGUAGGGAUACCCGCUGAACUUAAGCAUAU